This 252-nucleotide ribosomal RNA is filed under the name uncultured bacterium. RNAcentral's name for it is "partial 16S ribosomal RNA". It matches the Rfam family "Bacterial small subunit ribosomal RNA", at positions 524 to 776 of the family's 1533-position model. The record is from RNAcentral.
UACGUAGGGGGCGAGCGUUGUCCGGAGUACUGGGCGUAAAGCGCACGCAGGCGGUCUGCUAAGUUUGGAGUGACAGUUGGUGGCUUAACUGCCAAAGUGCUUCGAAAACUGACAGACUUGAGGGCUUCAGAGGGACACGGAAUUCCGGGUGGAGUGGUGAAAUGCGUAGAUAUCCGGAGGAAUACCAAAGGCGAAGGCAGUGUCCUGGCUGGCAUCUGACGCUGAGGCGCGAAAGCUAGGGGAGCGAACAGG